GGACGAACGCUGGCGGCGUGCCUAACACAUGCAAGUCGAGCGAGGAGAUUCCUUCGGGAUGAUCCUAGCGGCGGACGGGUGAGUAACACGUGGGCAACCUGCCUCAUAGAGAGGAAUAGCCUUCCGAAAGGGAGAUUAAUACCUCAUAACAUUGCAGUUUCGCAUGAAACAGCAAUUAAAGGAGCAAUCCGCUAUGAGAUGGGCCCGCGGCGCAUUAGCUAGUUGGUGAGGUAACGGCUCACCAAGGCGACGAUGCGUAGCCGACCUGAGAGGGUGAUCGGCCACAUUGGGACUGAGACACGGCCCAGACUCCUACGGGAGGCAGCAGUGGGGAAUAUUGCACAAUGGGGGAAACCCUGAUGCAGCCAACGCCGCGUGAGUGAUGACGGCCUUCGGGUUGUAAAGCUCUGUCUUCAGGGACGAUAAUGACGGUACCUGAGGAGGAAGCCACGGCUAACUACGUGCCAGCAGCUGC
This 475-nucleotide ribosomal RNA is filed under the name uncultured bacterium. Its description in RNAcentral is "bacterial SSU rRNA". It matches the Rfam family "Bacterial small subunit ribosomal RNA", at positions 27 to 518 of the family's 1533-position model. The record is from RNAcentral.